Molecule: ribosomal RNA, 255 nt
Filed under: uncultured bacterium
Lineage: Bacteria
Description: partial 16S ribosomal RNA
Rfam family: Bacterial small subunit ribosomal RNA
Source: RNAcentral
CGGACGGGUGAGUAACGCGUGGAAAACCUGCCGUAUACUGGGGGAUAACACUUAGAAAUAGGUGCUAAUACCGCAUAAGCGCACAGCUUCGCAUGAAGUGGUGUGAAAAACUCUGGUGGUAUACGAUGGUUCCGCGUCUGAUUAGCUUGUUGGUGGGGUAAUGGCUCACCAAGGCGACGAUCAGUAGCCGGCCUGAGAGGGUGAACGGUCACAUUGGGACUGAGACACGGCCCAAACUCCUACGGGAGGCAGCAG